GGAGUUUGGGCCGUGUCUCAGUCCCAAUGUGGCCGUCCGACCUCUCAGUCCGGCUACAGAUCGUCGCCUUGGUGGGCCUUUACCUCACCAACUAGCUAAUCUGACGCGGGCCCAUCUCAUACCACCGGAGUUUUUCACACUGUACCAUGCGGUACCGUGCGCUUAUGCGGUUUUAUCAGUCGUUUCCAACUGCUAUCCCCCAGUAUGAGGCAGGUUGCCCACGCGUUACUCACCCGUCCGCCACUAAGUAUACUCAAGCUUCGACCGAAAUCUCUGCAGCGAAUAUACUCCGUUCGACUUGCAUGUGUUAGGCACGCCGCCAGCGUUCAUC
This 331-nucleotide ribosomal RNA is filed under the name uncultured Butyrivibrio sp. RNAcentral describes it as "partial 16S ribosomal RNA". The record is from RNAcentral. Lineage: Bacteria; Bacillati; Bacillota; Clostridia; Lachnospirales; Lachnospiraceae.